Molecule: long non-coding RNA, 610 nt
Filed under: Ananas comosus (pineapple)
Lineage: Eukaryota; Viridiplantae; Streptophyta; Magnoliopsida; Poales; Bromeliaceae
Description: long non-coding RNA (ACOM_LNC036545)
Source: RNAcentral
GCUUUGUAUUAUUCGUAAGGUCCGUUUGACUCUUGUUCCUACAUCUUUAGGGUGCUAGGAGACUAGUGGGCAUCUUCGUCGGAGCUUACGAAGAGUUGCAAGAGUUGUGGUGGGUUUGACUUCAUGAAAACGGGGCAAAAUGGCCCCUAUGCAUUUUGUACUUGUCGUAAUCUCAAUUUGACAUCAAAUCCAUGCUAAAUAGAAUUUAUGUGAAUUUUAGAACACUUAAAAUGCAUGCCUUAUGCAUCAUAAAAUUUUCACUCUAUGUAGUAGUAGGGUAUUCUGGGUUUUUAGCAUGCAUGUGAGAAGUGGUUCUUUUUGCGAGUUGGGUACUUGUCUCGUACGAUGAAAAUGAUUAGAAUUAUGCAUUCAUGAACAUAAUUGUCAUGCUUGGACAUAGAGACCAAAAGUGUCAUAAAGGGGCACUUAGACUAGCAAACUAUGAAACUGUUAUCUGAGACUUAGUGAUAGGCCAUUGACAUCUUUUAUAUUCCAUGUUCGAGACAUGAUGACAUAGAGAUAGGCCUAUGAGAGAUGUGACGUAUUCCAUGUUGUUAGACAUGAGGACUUGGUACUUGAGACAGAUCUUUUGGUUACUUGCCAUUGUGCU